GAUUUCAGUGGUGUGAAGUGCA
Molecule: microRNA, 22 nt
Filed under: Scyliorhinus torazame (cloudy catshark)
Lineage: Eukaryota; Metazoa; Chordata; Chondrichthyes; Carcharhiniformes; Scyliorhinidae
Description: Sto-Mir-205-P4_3p* (star (passenger))
Source: RNAcentral